Unclassified non-coding RNA from Stegodyphus dumicola, 2399 nucleotides. Lineage: Eukaryota; Metazoa; Arthropoda; Arachnida; Araneae; Eresidae. The record is from RefSeq and is a predicted model, not a curated record.
AAAAGCGCCAAACAAAUAAGUGGGCGAUUCUGCACUUUAGCUGCUGCUUUUAAAAAUGCUUUCAAUUACAUAUUUAAUAAUUCUAAACAUCUACUACCCAAUUCUAACAGUACGGAACUACUUUCGUCGCAUUGUUUACAAACAGCACGACCCCGUUACACGCCUACGCUCAAAUACCGAAGUCACAUGAACGUUGUUAAAAAGCAUGGUAGGGCACACUCAGCAAAGAAAGUCUACACAGUGCAUAUUCUUUGUCCUCAGUCCCGUAUGCAGGGAGAGAAAAUUUUGGUGUAGCACCAGCAAAUAUGUAUUAUUGUACAUAGAACGUUCUUUGGCACCAGGGCAAAGAAUAUGUAUUGUUCUUUGACCAGGGCGACUGGGUCCAAGCAAAGAAGUCCAAGACCGUACCCUACACUGAAUAAUAGUGUAGUUUGCGAAUGGUACAGGAAAAUAAUUUGUUUUCGUCAAAGAAUCUUCUUUGUUUUCGUCAUAAAAGAACAUCCAAAAGUAGCGCUAUUUAAUAGUUCGAGUAAUCGCGGCAAACAGCGGAAUUUGGAUUAGUUACUUUUCGUAUCACAUGUUAUCGGUAACCGUUGUACAUUUCAGUUUUGAGUAGCGUACGGCGCAUUGGUGCGGUAAAUCAUCAAAUUUAAUGUUAUGAGAAGAUUUUAUCGAAAAUACUUAUUUUUGUGUAUAGAAGGUUUGAAAAAUUUUAAGUCAUGGUGUUGUAGUGCAGCCUUAGAUGCAUUCCAGCUGAAUUUCAUUUGCAUUGAAGCAUAUAAUUAUUUCAUCAAACAAAAUUGCAAUUAUUUCCUUUUUCAUGCAGACAUAUUUUUAGAGUGAUAAUGUGGCCUAUAUGCAGUUCAGCAGGAUUUCAUCUGCUUCUAAAGCUACUGAUAUAUCAGAACAAAUGAAGCAUCAUAGUGGUAAUCUGUUGUAUGUUUGUCAACUAUGUAAUAAAUCGUUCAGUCUGAAAUGUAAUUUGAACACUCAUUUAAAGCUGCAUAUGGGAGAACGUCCAUUUGCAUGCCAUCUGUGUAAUAAACGCUUUAGUUUAAAGGGAAAUCUUAAAAUUCAUCAAAGGAUUCAUACUGGAGAACGACCAUAUGAAUGUAAUGUUUGUAAAAAGAGAUUUACUCAAUACAGUGGCCUCAAAAGCCAUUAUAGAAAACAUAUAAACUGAUUUACAGUCAAGCAGUUAUUCCAAAUGAAAUUAGUUUUUAUUAUAUUAUUUUUGAUGUUUUGGUACUUUUCUGUUAUCGGGAUUGGAUUCAGAUAUCGCCAAAAGCUGAUGAUCUGGUGAAAAAUUCAAAACAUAAAAAUAGUUGCCAAAAUAUUUAUGAUAAGGUUAAGUUGAAAAAAAAUCCAAGGAAAUAUAUCGUGAUGGAUAGUAAUAAAAUUGGAAAUUUUUAUUAAACAUCUUGCCAAAGAAAUUGGGAAAGAAAAAUUCAGUUACCAAAUUAAAAUUAAUGUGGAUGCAUGAAAUUGUGGAUAUCAUUUAAAAUGUCUGAAAACAUUUACAUUUAAAGACGCUGCUGCCAUAACUUAAACAUAAUUAAAUAAGAAUCUAAUUGUUUAGGGGCAAUGCCGCAUUUGAUGCAAAAGCAGACUUUUGUUAACUUCAACAGUAUUACUAGUGAUGCUUAUUUUAUCUGACAGCCUGGACAUUAAUGCAUAGUCAAAGACUUAUCUUAUAUAAUUGCCCUUAUCAACAGCGGUGAAGUGAUUCAUAUCAAGCUAAUACUGACAAAAUUCUGUGAAAAUUAAUUCUAAACACCAUGCGUGAAAGAAACAUGGUUUUUUUUGUGAUCUUUGUUUCAGAGUGAAUAAUGCUUUGUUCCCAAAGAAACUGAUUGAAAGAUGUUUAAUCAUUAAGUCCCAAAUUUUCAUAUCCGGGUUAAAAAAAAAAAAUAAUAAAACACAAGUGAUCAUGUUAUCUGUAGAAUUUGUAUUCUCAUUGCCACUUUUAAAAAGACAUUCUUUUACUUAAAAAAAAAAAAAAAAAAAAAAAAAAAAAAAGGCAUCAAUAUUAUAACGAUUUGAUAAAUAAAUAUUGGCAACUUCAUAUGAAUCAAUGUUUUGUUUAGUGAAACAUUUGGUGAUGACUCUGGUCCCAAUAACAGAACAGUACCGAUAUUUUUUUAAUCAUAAAACAAAAUCUGAUAUUUGCUGAUUAUCUGCACCCUCUCAAAAGUCACAUAUUUGCCAAAUUGUGAAAUGGUAAAAAAAAAAAAAAAAUUGUUUGAUUAUAUUCAUGCUCUGAAGUAUUGUCUGUUCAUUAUGACUAUAGUAAUACUUAACAGUUCAUGUUGGAAUGCAGUUUGAAGUACCAGGUGCAUAAUUAAAUAUCAUUAUUUUUGAUGAAUUAUGUGUAUUCAAUAAACAUACUAUUUUAUUUA